GACGCCUUUGGUCAGCGGUAGACCGAUUUACGCUUCUCUCACGGCGGCAACACCGGUUCGAAUCCGGUAGGGGACGCCA
This 79-nucleotide transfer RNA is filed under the name Alphaproteobacteria bacterium. RNAcentral's name for it is "tRNA-OTHER". Lineage: Bacteria; Pseudomonadati; Pseudomonadota; Alphaproteobacteria. The record is from RNAcentral.